RNAcentral lists this ribosomal RNA (548 nucleotides) under uncultured Glomeromycotina. RNAcentral describes it as "SSU rRNA". It matches the Rfam family "Eukaryotic small subunit ribosomal RNA", at positions 548 to 1097 of the family's 1831-position model. The record is from RNAcentral. Lineage: Eukaryota; Fungi; Glomeromycota.
UUGGAGGGCAAGUCUGGUGCCAGCAGCCGCGGUAAUUCCAGCUCCAAUAGCGUAUAUUAAAGUUGUUGCAGUUAAAAAGCUCGUAGUUGAAUUUCGGGGUCAGUAGGUUGGUCGUGCCACUGGUAUGCACUGGUCUCACUGAUUCCUCCUUCCUGAUGAACCGUAAUGCCAUUAAUUUGGUGUUGCGGGGAAUCUGGACUGUUACUUUGAAAAAAUUAGAGUGUUUAAAGCAGGCUAACGCUUGAAUACAUUAGCAUGGAAUAAUGAAAUAGGACGUUCGAUCCUAUUUUGUUGGUUUCUAGGAUUGACGUAAUGAUUAAUAGGGAUAGUUGGGGGCAUUAGUAUUCAAUUGUCAGAGGUGAAAUUCUUGGAUUUAUUGAAGGCUAACUACUGCGAAAGCAUUUGCCAAGGAUGUUUUCAUUAAUCAAGAACGAAAGUUAGGGGAUCGAAGACGAUCAGAUACCGUCGUAGUCUUAACCAUAAACUAUGCCGACUAGGGAUCGGAUGAUGUUAAUUUUUUAAUGACUCAUUCGGCGCCUUACGGGAAA